This 375-nucleotide transfer-messenger RNA is filed under the name Burkholderiales. RNAcentral describes it as "Ramlibacter sp001424545 Standard tmRNA". It matches the Rfam family "transfer-messenger RNA". From Rfam's summary of the family: Bacterial tmRNA, also known as 10Sa RNA or SsrA, is named for its dual tRNA and mRNA-like properties. Its role is to liberate the mRNA from a stalled ribosome. To accomplish this part of the tmRNA is used as a reading frame that ends in a translation stop signal. The record is from RNAcentral. RNAcentral also lists the same sequence under 1 other name. Lineage: Bacteria; Pseudomonadati; Pseudomonadota; Betaproteobacteria.
GGGGCUGCACCGGUUUCGACGUGGGUUCGGACGCGCAGCAGGGCAUGUCGAGGGUCAGAUCACCUCGUAAAUCCAGCUGAAACAAACUAACUGCGAACGACGAACGUUACGCACUCGCCGCUUAAACACCGGUGAGCCUCACAACAGUCGGCCGAUGGGCUGGGCCAGGGGCGCAAGCUCCCGGCUGUGAGGGAAUCCACAUUGGCUGGUCCCUGCCCGGGUGCCUUGGGUGGGGACGAGAAAAUAGGGCACUGGCAACCGGCAUAGCGUGCGCCUGCGCGAUGUCGGGGGCGAGAUCCAAAUCAGAGCGCUAAACAUGUAGAACUGUUCGUAGAAGGCUUGCGGACGCGGGUUCAAUUCCCGCCAGCUCCACCA